Molecule: ribosomal RNA, 635 nt
Filed under: Frigoribacterium sp. Ri2Ps_4926
Lineage: Bacteria; Bacillati; Actinomycetota; Actinomycetes; Micrococcales; Microbacteriaceae
Description: bacterial SSU rRNA
Rfam family: Bacterial small subunit ribosomal RNA
Source: RNAcentral
GCCUGAUGCAGCAACGCCGCGUGAGGGAUGACGGCCUUCGGGUUGUAAACCUCUUUUAGUAGGGAAGAAGCGAAAGUGACGGUACCUGCAGAAAAAGCACCGGCUAACUACGUGCCAGCAGCCGCGGUAAUACGUAGGGUGCAAGCGUUGUCCGGAAUUAUUGGGCGUAAAGAGCUCGUAGGCGGUUUGUCGCGUCUGCUGUGAAAUCUGGGGGCUCAACCCCCAGCCUGCAGUGGGUACGGGCAGACUAGAGUGCGGUAGGGGAGAUUGGAAUUCCUGGUGUAGCGGUGGAAUGCGCAGAUAUCAGGAGGAACACCGAUGGCGAAGGCAGAUCUCUGGGCCGUAACUGACGCUGAGGAGCGAAAGCAUGGGGAGCGAACAGGAUUAGAUACCCUGGUAGUCCAUGCCGUAAACGUUGGGAACUAGAUGUGGGGGCCAUUCCACGGUCUCCGUGUCGCAGCUAACGCAUUAAGUUCCCCGCCUGGGGAGUACGGCCGCAAGGCUAAAACUCAAAGGAAUUGACGGGGGCCCGCACAAGCGGCGGAGCAUGCGGAUUAAUUCGAUGCAACGCGAAGAACCUUACCAAGGCUUGACAUAUACCGGAAACGUCCAGAGAUGGUCGCCCCGCAAGGUCG